GGCUGAGUGGCGCAAUCGGAUAGCGCAUCUGACUACGGAUCAGGAGGUUGGGAGUUCGAGUCUCCUCUUAGUCA
Molecule: transfer RNA, 74 nt
Organism: Monosiga brevicollis MX1
Lineage: Eukaryota; Choanoflagellata; Craspedida; Salpingoecidae
Rfam family: tRNA
About the family: Transfer RNA (tRNA) molecules are approximately 80 nucleotides in length. Their secondary structure includes four short double-helical elements and three loops (D, anti-codon, and T loops).
Source: Rfam